RNAcentral lists this ribosomal RNA (1799 nucleotides) under metagenome. RNAcentral describes it as "bacterial LSU rRNA". It matches the Rfam family "Bacterial large subunit ribosomal RNA", at positions 1109 to 2925 of the family's 2925-position model. The record is from RNAcentral.
AAAGCAGCCACUCAUUAAAAGAGUGCGUAAUAGCUCACUAGUCGAGAGAUCCUGCGCCGAAGAUGUCCGGGGCUAAAACUUACCACCGAAGCUACGGGAUUGCAAUAGCAAUCGGUAGAAGAGCGUCGUAAUCGGGCUGAAGUCGUACCGUAAGGAGCGGUGGACUGAUUACGAGUGAGAAUGUUGGCAUUAGUAGCGAGAUGUAGGUGAGAAUCCUACAGGCCGAAUACCUAAGGUUUCCUCAGGAAGGUUCGUCCUCUGAGGGUUAGUCGGGACCUAAGCCGAGGCCGAAAGGCGUAGGUGAUGGACAAUCGGUUGAUAUUCCGAUACCACUAUAAUCGUUAUUAUCGAUGGCGUGACGGAGAAGGAUAGAGUGUGCUAGCUAUUGGAUGCUAGUCUAAGCGUUUAGGGAGUCAGGAUAGGCAAAUCCGUUCUGAUAAUUCUGAGGCGUGAUGGGGAAGGUUCUAAGGAACCGAAGUACUUGAUUCCAUGCUUCCAAGAAAAGCGUCUAGAAAGAGAAGUAGUGCCCGUACCGUAAACCGACACAGGUAGGUGAGGAGAGAAUCCUAAGGCCGGCGGAAGAAUCACAGUUAAGGAACUAGGCAAAUUGACCCCGUAACUUCGGGAUAAGGGGUGCCUGCGCGAGCAGGUCGCAGAGAAUAGGCCCAAGCAACUGUUUAGCAAAAACACAGGUCUCUGCUAAAGCGAAAGCUGAUGUAUAGGGGCUGACGCCUGCCCGGUGCUGGAAGGUUAAGGGGAACACUUAGUGUAAGCGAAGGUGUGGACUUAAGCCCCAGUAAACGGCGGCCGUAACGAUAACGGUCCUAAGGUAGCGAAAUUCCUUGUCAGGUAAGUUCUGACCCGCACGAAUGGCGUAAUGAUUUGGGCACUGUCUCAACUGUGAAUCCGGCGAAGUUGUAGUGCGAGUGAAGAUGCUCGCUACCCGCGAUUGGACGGAAAGACCCCGUAGAGCUUUACUGUAGCUUAGCAUUGAAUUUCGGUAUUGUCUGUACAGGAUAGGUGGGAGAUUGGGAAACCAGAGCGUCAGCUUUGGCGGAGUCACCCUUGGGAUACCACCCUGAUAGUACUGAGGUUCUAACUGGAUGCCAUGAAUCUGGUGACAGGACAUUGUUAGGUGGGCAGUUUGACUGGGGCGGUCGCCUCCGAAAGUGUAACGGAGGCGCCCAAAGGUUCCCUCAGAACGGUCGGAAAUCGUUCGAAGAGUGCAAAGGCAGAAGGGAGCCUGACUGCGACACCCACAAGUGGAGCAGGGACGAAAGUCGGGCUUAGUGAUCCGGUGGUACCUCGUGGGAGGGCCAUCGCUCAACGGAUAAAAGCUACCUCGGGGAUAACAGACUGAUCUCCCCCAAGAGUCCACAUCGACGGGGAGGUUUGGCACCUCGAUGUCGGCUCGUCGCAUCCUGGGGCUGAAGUAGGUCCCAAGGGUUGGGCUGUUCGCCCAUUAAAGCGGCACGCGAGCUGGGUUCAGAACGUCGUGAGACAGUUCGGUCCCUAUCCGUCGCGGGCGUAGGAAAUUUGAGAGGAGCUGUCCUUAGUACGAGAGGACCGGGAUGGACUGACCUCUGGUGCACCAGUUGUUCCGCCAGGAGCACAGCUGGGUAGCUAAGUCGGGAAGGGAUAAACGCUGAAAGCAUCUAAGCGUGAAGCCCACCUCAAGAUAAGAUUUCCCAUAGCGUAAGCUAGUAAGACCCCUUGAAGAACACAAGGUUGAUAGGUCAGAGGUGUAAGUGUGGUAACAUAUUUAGCUGACUGAUACUAAUAGGUCGAGGGCUUGACCG